RNAcentral lists this ribosomal RNA (492 nucleotides) under uncultured bacterium. RNAcentral's name for it is "partial 16S ribosomal RNA". It matches the Rfam family "Bacterial small subunit ribosomal RNA", at positions 29 to 507 of the family's 1533-position model. The record is from RNAcentral.
AGUGAACGCUGGCGGUAGGCCUAACACAUGCAAGUCGAACGGCAGCACAGUAAGAGCUUGCUCUUACGGGUGGCGAGUGGCGGACGGGUGAGGAAUACAUCGGAAUCUACUUUUUCGUGGGGGAUAACGUAGGGAAACUUACGCUAAUACCGCAUACGACCUACGGGUGAAAGCAGGGGAUCUUCGGACCUUGCGCGAUUGAAUGAGCCGAUGUCGGAUUAGCUAGUUGGCGGGGUAAAGGCCCACCAAGGCGACGAUCCGUAGCUGGUCUGAGAGGAUGAUCAGCCACACUGGAACUGAGACACGGUCCAGACUCCUACGGGAGGCAGCAGUGGGGAAUAUUGGACAAUGGGCGCAAGCCUGAUCCAGCCAUACCGCGUGGGUGAAGAAGGCCUUCGGGUUGUAAAGCCCUUUUGUUGGGAAAGUAAAGAAGCAGGUUAAUACCCCGCUGUUCUGACGGUACCCAAAGAAUAAGCACCGGCUAACUUCGUG